RNAcentral lists this ribosomal RNA (501 nucleotides) under uncultured bacterium. Its description in RNAcentral is "partial 16S ribosomal RNA". It matches the Rfam family "Bacterial small subunit ribosomal RNA", at positions 30 to 523 of the family's 1533-position model. The record is from RNAcentral.
AUUGAACGCUGGCGGCAUGCCUUACACAUGCAAGUCGAACGGCAGCACGGGUGCUUGCACCUGGUGGCGAGUGGCGAGCGGGUGAGUAAUAUAUCGGAACGUACCUUAUCGUGGGGGAUAACGCAGCGAAAGCUGUGCUAAUACCCCAUAAGCCCUAAGGGGGAAAGCAGGGGACCGUAAGGCCUUGCUCGAUUCGAGCGGCCGAUACCUGAUUAGCUAGUUGGUGAGGUAAAGGCUCACCAAGGCAACGAUCAGUAGCUGGUCUGAGAGGACGAUCAGCCACACUGGGACUGAGACACGGCCCAGACUCCUACGGGAGGCAGCAGUGGGGAAUUUUGGACAAUGGGGGCAACCCUGAUCCAGCAAUGCCGCGUGAGUGAAGAAGGCCUUCGGGUUGUAAAGCUCUUUUGUCAGGGAAGAAACAGCAGCUCUAAUACAGUAUGCGAAUGACGGUACCUGAAGAAUAAGCACCGGCUAACUACGUGCCAGCAGCCGCGGUAA